Molecule: ribosomal RNA, 484 nt
Filed under: uncultured bacterium
Lineage: Bacteria
Description: partial 16S ribosomal RNA
Rfam family: Bacterial small subunit ribosomal RNA
Source: RNAcentral
AUUGAACGCUGGCGGCAUGCCUUACACAUGCAAGUCGAACGGCAGCACGGACUUCUGUCUGGUGUCGAGUUGCGAACGGGUGUGUAAUGUAUCGGAACGUACCUUUCAGUUGUUGAUAACGUAUCUAAAGUUACGCUAAUACCUCAUAUUCUGUUAGCAGGAAAGCAGGGGUUCGAAAGACCUUGCGCUUAUUUAUCUGCCGAUAUCAGAUUAGCUAGUUGGUGGGGUAAAGGCCUACCAAGGCGACGAUCUGUAGCGGGUAUGAGAGGAUGAUCCGCCACACUGGAACUGAGACACGGUACAGAAGACUACGGGAGGCAGCAGUGGGGAAUGUUGGACAAUGGGGGAAAACAUGAUCAAGCAAUGCCGCGUGAGUGAAGAAGGACUUAGGGUUGUAAAGCUCUUUAGGCCGGGAAGAAAUCGAAUAGGAUAAUAACAUGUGUGGAUGACGGUAACGGAAGAAGAAGCAACGGCUAACUACGUG